AGUCGGCUCCCCUCUGCUGAGGGUGGUAAGUGGGGCUGCUCAGGGCCUGUUCCUUUGGGUUCUUUGCCAUUCUAGCAGUGGGGGAGCUUGCUCUGAGUGGUCUGAUAUUGUAACUAGGACCUCUUCCAGGUUGGUGCAGUUCUAACAUGCUGCUGCAGUGAUGGAACCAUGAAAGUAGCGGGAAUGUAAUCCUGAGAGGUAUAGCAGAGAGGAAAAUCCACUUCCCUACUCAGAUUUGGUAUAUUACCCUUGUCUACUACCUUAGGGAGACUAUUACUGGAAACACGUGUCCAGUUCUGGUGUCAACACUUGAAGAAUGCCAAAACCUGGGAAGGGGUUCAGAAGAGCACUAAAAGAAUGUUUUGAGAUCUGAAGACUAAAGAAGUUCAAUCGAAGAGAAGAUUACCAUGACCCCUAUGUCCUUUUCAAAGUCACUGCAUUCUAGGAUACAGUCCCGGUCUUACAGGUGCAACCUAUGUUCUUUGUUCCUAGAUAUGCAUUUUAAUACAAAGGCAAUAUAUUGUACAACUGAGCCCACCUUCCCAAGCAAUCAAGGUGAGUCAGUAUAAUUGAUCUGUCCAUCACUGUUUACCAUGCCACCAAUUUUUGAGUCAUCUCCAAACUUUGUCAGCAGUGAUAUAAUUGAUUUAUAUCUUCUACAUCACUGAUAAAGAUGCUGAAUGACAUUGGGUCAAGCACUGAUACUUGAGAGACUCCAUUAGAAAUACCCCUAUUGGACAACUGUAUUCCCCAUUUACAAUUACUCUAUUGUGAUCAGUCUGUUAACCAAUUUUAAUCCAUUUACUAUGGUCUGCACUUUUUUUCCUCAGAAUGCCUUGCAGGACAGAAGUCUGUCUAAUCAGCCUACUUACCUCUUAAGUUCUCUGGAAGUUCCCCAGUAUUCAAAAGUCUGUUUAAAAAUCACUUUAUGCUUCAAAACUCCUUAGUCAAUUCUUGUAAUACUCUUGGGCACUAGUUACCCAGUAUUGCAGACUUUAAAAAUCUUUAACCUUUAAUAGCUGCUGUUUCUAAUUCAUCAGUAACUAGGCAGGAUGCAAACGUGUUUCAUUGUCAAAGAUAUUAUGAAUACAUCCUUCUGCUCCUUUCUGAAUAUAGAACAGAAAUAUUUCCUUAUGCCCCAUGUGCAUUGUGAUGUCCAGCUAUUAAUGAAUCCGCCUCACACCCCAGUGUGGUAUGUAUAAAAGUUCCCCCACUGCAAAAUGAGAAUAUGAGACACAAAGCCUUGCCUGGGGCUACACAAUGAGUCGGUGGCCAAGCCAAAAGUAAACUCUGGCCCUCCUGAUUCCCAGCAUUGUGCA
Chelonia mydas (Green sea turtle) is the source of this 1319-nucleotide long non-coding RNA. RefSeq lists it as uncharacterized. Lineage: Eukaryota; Metazoa; Chordata; Testudines; Cheloniidae. The transcript is spliced from 3 exons. The record is from RefSeq and is a predicted model, not a curated record.